GCUCCCAGCAGCCCCAGCAACUGCUCAAGAGCUCAGGAGCAGGACACAUGACCAGUCAGGUGGUGAGACCAGUGACAGUUGGGAGAAAGUGUUGGUUGGUGAGAGCUGAGCUGAGGUAAUCUUGAGAGGAGAGCUAUGCCAUCAAGUGUGUGCUGAGGUGGCGUGGGGGUGACGGAGGAGAUGGAGGCAGACCUUCCUACCACAAGGGUGGUCAGAGAGAUGGCUUUACCCCCAUGCAAGGCAAGUCUGGGGGUGCAGAUGUAAUAAGAGUGAUCGCAGCAGCUUCCAUAGCGGCAGUGGGUGAAGACUUUAUCUGGAGCCCUGGCAGUUGGUAAUGCCUCAGAGUGGACCAGGCCUCCCCAAUUAAGGCAAGAGGUGGGCAGCAGUAACAAAGGAAUAGUCCGUGGGACCAGAUUGUCCGGAAAGAUACCCAGUAUCCCACACUGACAGCUACGGACAGCAUGGAGACCUAACACAGACACUUGGAGAGGUCGAGGUUCGAGAUAAAGCAUACCAUCGAGCAACGAUAUGCCAUCAAGUUUUGUGUUAAACUCGUGAAAUCGGGUACAGAGACGCUUGCCAUGCUUCAAAAGGCCUUCAGGGAGGAACACUUGUCCAAGGCGCAAGUUUACAGCUGGUUUACAUUCUUUGAGGAGUGCAGAGAAGACAUUAAGGACGAACCAUGCUCUGGACGACUUCAACAAGCGAAAUGAUCAAAAUGUGGACAAAGUGCGCAACGUUUUGAACACUGACCGUCGUUUGAGUGUUAGAAUGGUAGCAGAAAGGUUGGGAAUACCAAAAACUUCUGUGCAAGAAAUCUUGACAAACGAGUUAGUGAUGUGAAAGGACUCAAGGCGCUGUACUCCUGCAUCUGGUUGUGUUAACUGAUACUGAUGUGGGUGCCGAACUCAAUUUGUCAGCAAGCACAUUACUAUCAGUGACAGAAGAUGUUCUUUCCCCACUGUUUCUGCUGGAAGUAAGCACUGAGCAGAAGGGUUAAUUUUCUACUUUAGUGGAUGGAUAUUCUCCUUGAGGUGUUAGAUGGACAAAUGAUCUCCCAGACGCAUCAUGUCUUUUCUUCUACAACACCUUUUUAUUAUUACUUUUUGGCACUGGUAGUGUUGCAUGUGAGAAUGUUGAAAAUAGAUAAAUCAUGUUUUUACAGGUUACAGGCCUGUCUAACUUGUCUCUUUCUCCUUAUAUCUAUACUCCUGCAUUGUACCUUAGUUUACCCCUGAGAAUUAUCAAAGUAUUUGUGUAAUAAAACCU
Pseudophryne corroboree (corroboree frog) is the source of this 1269-nucleotide long non-coding RNA. RefSeq lists it as uncharacterized. The transcript is spliced from 3 exons. NCBI's taxonomy places the organism in Eukaryota, Metazoa, Chordata, Amphibia, Anura, Myobatrachidae. The record is from RefSeq and is a predicted model, not a curated record.